CAGCCGCCGCGGUAAUACGGAGGGGGCUAGCGUUGUUCGGAAUUACUGGGCGUAAAGCGUACGUAGGCGGCUUUGUAAGUUAGAGGUGAAAGCCUGGUGCUCAACACCAGAACUGCCUUUAAGACUGCAUCGCUUGAACGUCGGAGAGGUGAGUGGAAUUCCGAGUGUAGAGGUGAAAUUCGUAGAUAUUCGGAAGAACACCAGUGGCGAAGGCGGCUCACUGGACGACUGUUGACGCUGAGGUACGAAAGCGUGGGGAGCAAACAGGAUUAGAUACCCCAGUAGUCCCUGUCUCUUAUAC
Molecule: ribosomal RNA, 301 nt
Filed under: uncultured bacterium
Lineage: Bacteria
Description: partial 16S ribosomal RNA
Rfam family: Bacterial small subunit ribosomal RNA
Source: RNAcentral